RNAcentral lists this non-coding RNA (27 nucleotides) under Homo sapiens (human). The record is from RNAcentral. Lineage: Eukaryota; Metazoa; Chordata; Mammalia; Primates; Hominidae.
UGUUCCACGAUGAGGGGCAUAGCUUGA